Molecule: ribosomal RNA, 340 nt
Filed under: uncultured Acidobacteriota bacterium
Lineage: Bacteria; Pseudomonadati; Acidobacteriota
Description: bacterial SSU rRNA
Rfam family: Bacterial small subunit ribosomal RNA
Source: RNAcentral
CAGAACGAACGCUGGCUUCAUGCCUAACACAUGCAAGUCGAAAGCCCCGCAAGGGGUGAGUAGAGUGGCAAACUGGCCAGUAACACGUGGGUGACCUGCCUUCGAGUGGGGGAUAACGUCCCGAAAGGGUCGCUAAUACCGCAUGACAUCCUGCUUUUUAAGAGGUGGAGAUCAAAGCUGGGGAUCGCAAGACCUAGCGCUUGAAGAGGGGCCCGCGCCUGAUUAGCUAGUUGGUGGGGUAAUGGCUCACCAAGGCAACGAUCAGUAUCCGGCCUGAGAGGGCGGACGGACACACUGGGACUGAGACACGGCCCAGACUCCUACGGGAGGCAGCAGUGGG